CUGAUGCUGUGAUGAUCGCAUAGUUCAGCUGAUAACUGUGACGAAGAAAUAUGUCUUUCGCUCCUAGCUGAUGUGUCAG
This is a small nucleolar RNA of Echeneis naucrates (live sharksucker), 79 nucleotides long. Ensembl annotates it as small nucleolar RNA snR60/Z15/Z230/Z193/J17. The record is from Ensembl. Lineage: Eukaryota; Metazoa; Chordata; Actinopteri; Carangiformes; Echeneidae.